Molecule: ribosomal RNA, 468 nt
Filed under: uncultured bacterium
Lineage: Bacteria
Description: partial 16S ribosomal RNA
Rfam family: Bacterial small subunit ribosomal RNA
Source: RNAcentral
GACGAACGCUGGCGGCGUGCUUAAUACAUGCAAGUCGAACGGAAAGGCCCGGCUCUUGCGCGUUGCUCGAGUGCCGAACGGGUGAGUAACACGCGAGUAACCUGCCCUUGACUGUGGGAGAACUCCAGGAAACUGGGGCUAUAAUCGGAGAUGAGCUCUUGCUGCAUGGUGGGGGUUGGAAAGUUUCGGCGUUUGGGGAUGUACUCGCGGCUUAUCAGCUUGUUGGUGGGGUAGUGGCUUACCAGGGCUUUGACGGGUAGCCGGCAUGGGAGGGUGACCGGCCACAUUGGGACUGAGGUACGGACCAGACUCCUACGGGAGGCAGCGGUGGGGAAUAUUGCACAAUGGGCGGAAGCCUGAUGCAGCGACGCCGCGUGCGGGAUGACGGCCUUCGGGUUAUAAACCGCUUUCGCCUGUAACGAAGCGUGAGUGACGGUAAUGAGUCAAGAAGCACCGGCUAACUACGUG